Molecule: ribosomal RNA, 534 nt
Filed under: uncultured bacterium
Lineage: Bacteria
Description: partial 16S ribosomal RNA
Rfam family: Bacterial small subunit ribosomal RNA
Source: RNAcentral
GGGGAAUAUUGCACAAUGGGCGCAAGCCUGAUGCAGCGACGCCGCGUGAGGGAUGACGGCCUUCGGGUUGUAAACCUCUUUUGUUAGGGAGCAAGCGAGAGUGAGUGUACCUUUCGAAUAAGCACCGGCUAACUACGUGCCAGCAGCCGCGGUAAUACGUAGGGUGCAAGCGUUAUCCGGAAUUAUUGGGCGUAAAGAGCUCGUAGGCGGCUUGUCGCGUCCGGUGUGAAAGUCCAUCGCUUAACGGUGGAUCUGCGCCGGGUACGGGCAGGCUAGAAUGCGGUAGGGGAGACUGGAAUUCCCGGUGUAACGGUGGAAUGUGUAGAUAUCGGGAAGAACACCAAUGGCGAAGGCAGGUCUCUGGGCCGUUAUUGACGCUGAGGAGCGAAAGCGUGGGGAGCGAACAGGAUUAGAUACCCUGGUAGUCCACGCCGUAAACGGUGGACGCUGGAUGUGGGGCCCGUUCCACGGGUUCCGUGUCGGAGCUAACGCGUUAAGCGUCCCGCCUGGGGAGUACGGCCGCAAGGCUAAAAC